UACAGAGGUCCCGAGCGUUGUUCGGAUUCACUGGGCGUAAAGGGUGCGUAGGUGGCGGGGUAAGUUUGAUGUGAAAUCUCCGGGCUUAACCCGGAAAAUGCAUUGAAUACUAUUCUGCUUGGAGGGUUGGAGGGGGGACUGGAAUUCUCGGUGUAGCAGUGAAAUGCGUAGAUAUCGAGAGGAACACCAGCGGCGAAGGCGAGUCCCUGGACAACACCUGACACUGAGGCACGAAAGCUAGGGGAGCAAACAGG
This 254-nucleotide ribosomal RNA is filed under the name uncultured bacterium. RNAcentral's name for it is "partial 16S ribosomal RNA". It matches the Rfam family "Bacterial small subunit ribosomal RNA", at positions 524 to 776 of the family's 1533-position model. The record is from RNAcentral.